This 439-nucleotide ribosomal RNA is filed under the name uncultured bacterium. Its description in RNAcentral is "bacterial SSU rRNA". It matches the Rfam family "Bacterial small subunit ribosomal RNA", at positions 343 to 797 of the family's 1533-position model. The record is from RNAcentral.
UGGAGGCAGCAGUGAGGAAUUUUCGUCAAUGGCCGAAAGGCUGAACGAGCAACGCCGCGUGCAGGACGAAGGUCUUCGGAUCGUAAACUGCUUUUCUCUGGGACGAGCUUUGGACGGUACCAGAGGAAGAAGCCCCGGCUAACUACGUGCCAGCAGCCGCGGUAAUACGUAGGGGGCGAGCGUUGUCCGGAUUUAUUGGGCGUAAAGGGCGCGUAGGCGGUUUCUUAAGUUUGAAGUGACAGUGGGUGGCUUAACUACCCAAGGCCUUUGAAAACUGGGGAACUUGAGGACCAGAGAGGGACAUAGAAUUCCGGGUGGAGUGGUGAAAUGCGUAGAUAUCCGGAGGAAUACCAAAGGCGAAGGCAGUGUCCUGGAGGGUGACUGACGCUGAGGCGCGAAAGCUAGGGGAGCGAACAGGAUUAGAUACCCCUGUAGUCGG